AGGACGAACGCUGGCGGCGUGCUUAACACAUGCAAGUCGAGCGGAAAGGCCCUUCGGGGUACUCGAGCGGCGAACGGGCGAGUAACACGUGAGCAACCUGCCCUUAGCUUCGGGAUAGCUCCGGGAAACCGGAAUUAAUACCGAAUAUGACUGCGGCUGACAUCAGCCACGGUGGAAAGUUUUUCGGCUAGGGAUGGACUCGCGGCCUAUCAGCUAGUUGGUGAGGUAACGGCCCACCAAGGCGACGACGGGUA
RNAcentral lists this ribosomal RNA (254 nucleotides) under uncultured bacterium. RNAcentral's name for it is "partial small subunit ribosomal RNA". It matches the Rfam family "Bacterial small subunit ribosomal RNA", at positions 26 to 285 of the family's 1533-position model. The record is from RNAcentral.